CUCAUUAUAUCAUAAUAUCUGUAAUUUUGUUAAAGUCUCUCUUGAAAGGGGCAGAAACCCGUAGAGGGUGCCAGGCCCGUAAUGACUUAUAUUAAAAUAUUAUGGUGAGUUCUAUUUAGAGUCGAGUUGCUUGAGAGUGCAGCUCUAAGUAGGUGGUAAACUCCAUCUAAGGCUAAAUAUAACCACGAGACCGAUAGCAAACAAGUACCGUGAGGGAAAGUUGAAAAGAACUUUGAAGAGAGAGUUCAAAAGUACGUGAAACUGUUUAGAGAUAAACCUGCUCUAUUUAGUUGUAUAAAUACUAAUAGUGGAAGAUUCAAUUACCUUACCGGUUUACAAACUUACUUGAAUUUAUAAUAAUUAGGGACAGUAUACAAUCACAACACUUUAUGUGUCUGUGUAUUUGUAUUAACUGCUCAAUUCAUGUUUAGUAUUUGUCCGGAGGUGUGCACUUCUUCUACUAUUAAUGUUGUCAAUCGUCAUUAUAUUGUUUUAAGUGUUAUAAUGUUUAGACCGUAUUAAUAAGAAUUUUAAGUUUUGCUUAUAUUAUUAAUGUGGACAUAUAAUAAAACUAACAUAUUAAAAUGACGUUUUAUCGUAUCUGAAUGUAAUAAAAUGUCAUUAUUAUAUAACUUCUAUUUUAUUUUGGUAAUACAAGGUAUUAUAAUUUAUAUAUAAGUGGGAUUAUAAUACACUUCAUUUCUUAUGUGCAACAUAUUGUUGGCUCUAAAUAAUAGCAGGACCCGUCUUGAAACACGGACCAAGGAGUCUAGCAUAUAUGCAAGUCUUUGGAUGACAAUAUCCAUAAGGCGUAAUUAAUGUGAAUGUAUUAUUUUUAUGAUGUUUAAUAAUAAUAAUAUUAUAUUUAACAGAAUUUUUAUUAACACAUAAAAAUAAACUAAGGGAAGAUAAGUGGUUUUAAAAUAUCAUUUCGCAUUCCCGGGGCGUUCCA
This 952-nucleotide ribosomal RNA is filed under the name Ozaena ecuadorica. RNAcentral describes it as "eukaryotic LSU rRNA". It matches the Rfam family "Eukaryotic large subunit ribosomal RNA", at positions 160 to 773 of the family's 3401-position model. Lineage: Eukaryota; Metazoa; Arthropoda; Insecta; Coleoptera; Carabidae. The record is from RNAcentral.